GUGUCAGCAGCCGCGGUAAAACGUAGGAGGCAAGCGUUAUCCGGAUUUACUGGGCGUAAAGCGCGUGCAGGUGGUUGCAUAAGUCGUGCGUGAAAGCGCCCUGCUUAACAGGGCGAGUGCGGGCGAGACUGUGCGACUAGAGCUAGAUAGAGGCAAGUGGAAUUCCGGGUGUAGUGGUGAAAUGCGUAGAGAUCCGGAGGAAUACCAGUGGCGAAGGCGGCUUGCUGGGUCUAAGCUGACACUCAGACGCGAAAGCAUGGGGAGCGAACGGGAUUAGAAACCCCCGUAGUCC
This 292-nucleotide ribosomal RNA is filed under the name uncultured bacterium. RNAcentral's name for it is "partial 16S ribosomal RNA". It matches the Rfam family "Bacterial small subunit ribosomal RNA", at positions 505 to 796 of the family's 1533-position model. The record is from RNAcentral.